This 332-nucleotide long non-coding RNA is filed under the name Apteryx rowi (Okarito brown kiwi). RNAcentral's name for it is "lncRNA (ENSARWG00000015564.1)". Lineage: Eukaryota; Metazoa; Chordata; Aves; Apterygiformes; Apterygidae. The record is from RNAcentral.
AAGCUCCACACUGUAGUGAGAUCUUGGGAGCACUUGGCCCAGGGGAUGUUCAUGAGAUGUUCCUGCUGAUGAACUCUGCUUUGUUCCCCAUCUGUUUGAAUCCAACUCGUCUCCUGCCCUAAGAAGACCAGCUGAUUGCUCUGCUGGUACUAGCAGAUCAAUCUCACCGAAACAGAUGUGUUUUUCCUCUGGCCUUGAAGAGGUUAGUUUUCCAAACACCUGCGAUUACCUGCUGAGCUUAAGCUUUGUACUGCACUACUGGAGCACCUAUAACAUCCCACUUGUAUCCUCGGGGAACAGAAGUUGCUCUGGCCUUAUGUGUACGUGAUGUU